AAAACAUCGCCUCCUGCAACACACCAUAUAUAGGAGGUCCAACCUGCCCAGUGACUACAAGUUCAACGGCCGCGGUAUUUUGACCGUGCAAAGGUAGCGCAAUCACUUGUCUUUUAAAUAGAGACCUGUAUGAAUGGCCAAACGAAGGCUUAACUGUCUCCCCUUUCAAGUCAGUGAAAUUGAUCUACCCGUGCAGAAGCGGAUAUAAUAAUACAAGACGAGAAGACCCUUUGGAGCUUAAGGUACAAAAUUUAACCACGUCAAGCAACUUAAUAAAAAGCAAAAACCUUGUGGAACAUAAAACUUUACCUUCGGUUGGGGCGACCACGGAGUAAAACAAAACCUCCAAGUGGACUGGGAUAAUUUUCCUAAAACCAAGAGAGACAUCUCUAAGCCACAGAACAUCUGACCAAACAUGAUCCGGACACCAGAACCGAUCAACGAACCAAGUUACCCUAGGGAUAACAGCGCAAUCCUCUCCCAGAGUCCAUAUCGACGAGGGGGUUUACGACCUCGAUGUUGGAUCAGGACAUCCUAAUGGUGCAGCCGCUAUUAAGGGUUCGUUUGUUCAACGAUUAAAGUCCUACGUGA
This 591-nucleotide ribosomal RNA is filed under the name Garra fuliginosa. RNAcentral's name for it is "partial 16S ribosomal RNA". It matches the Rfam family "Bacterial large subunit ribosomal RNA", at positions 1810 to 2603 of the family's 2925-position model. Lineage: Eukaryota; Metazoa; Chordata; Actinopteri; Cypriniformes; Cyprinidae. The record is from RNAcentral.